CCUACGGGCGGCAGCAGUGGGGAAUAUUGGGCAAUGGGCGCAAGCCUGACCCAGCAACGCCGCGUGAAGGAAGAAGGCUUUCGGGUUGUAAACUUCUUUUCUCAGGGACGAAGCAAGUGACGGUACCUGAGGAAUAAGCCACGGCUAACUACGUGCCAGCAGCCGCGGUAAUACGUAGGUGGCAAGCGUUAUCCGGAUUUACUGGGUGUAAAGGGCGUGUAGGCGGGAAAGCAAGUCAGAUGUGAAAACCAUGGGGGCAACCUGUGGCCUGCCUUUGAAACUGGUUUUCUUGAGUACUGGAGAGGCAGACGGAAUUCGUAGUGUAGCGGGGAAAUGCGUAGAUAUUAGGAGGAACACCAGUGGCGAAGGCGGUCUGCUGGACAGCAACUGACGCUGAGGCGCGAAAGCGUGGGGAGCAAACAGGAUUAGAUACCCCAGUAGUC
Molecule: ribosomal RNA, 443 nt
Filed under: uncultured bacterium
Lineage: Bacteria
Description: partial 16S ribosomal RNA
Rfam family: Bacterial small subunit ribosomal RNA
Source: RNAcentral